AAAAAAAAACACCGAUACAGUCGAUUCAUACAGUCCAGAGGUAUCCUCCGUUCUCCCAUCAAAAGGCCUUCGGGAAUCGGAGCAAGAAUUCUGGCGGAGCCCAUAGCUCAUGCAGAACUAUUCCUCUCGCCUCUAUCAAAUUCCCCAUCAACUCUGAUCGAAGCAGCAAUACUCUGAAGGAAUCGACAAUCAAGUUGCCGGCGGAUGGAGUAGAGCAAUUUCUGCGCAACAAUCCGGCUGGAGUUUUUGUUGCCGCUGAUCUGCAGCGACAGGGAGAGAGAUCCCACCUAUUGCUUUAAACUGCUCUACAAGCAUUCGAUUCCAAUUGCUUUCCCCAGAAGGCUCCAUUGGGGGAUUUUUCCUCGCUUCGGAAAGAAUCUGGUCGUAGUAGCGAUACAUGUGUGGUGACUGAGUCUGUUUAUGGAUAUACUAUAUUUGGAAUUCAACCGUCGAGCGUCUGCACUGAGGUUUGCUUCUCCAUUGAUGCUCAAUGGCAAUUAAGGAGCGCAUUUCCUUUUUGAAGCAUGAGGGAACGCUCAGUCAGAGAAUCGAAUAGGUGGUUGCUGAAGUUUUUGUAGCAAACAAAAACCCUGCUGUUAUAAUAAGACAACAAAGCAGGGAAGUUUAUACAGACAAGAAAUAAUGGACUGUAAUAAAGAUGAGGCUGCAAGGGCUAAAGAGAUAGCCGAGGAGAAAUUUACGGCAAAGGACAUUGUGGGGGCUAAAAAAUUUGCUUUGAAGGCAAAAAAUUUAUUUCCGGGGCUUGAGGGUAUCUCCCAAAUGUUAGCCACGAUUGAUGUCUAUAUGUCUGCUGAAAACAAAAUAAAUGGAGAAGUAGAUUGGUAUGCAAUACUCGGUGUGAAUCCACGAGCUGAUGAGGAAACAGUGAGGAAACACUAUAGGAAGCUAGCUCUUGUUCUUCACCCUGAUAAGAACAAGUCUAUAGGAGCUGAUGGGGCGUUUAAGCUUAUUUCUCAGGCUUGGAGUCUGUUGUCUGAUAAAUCCAAAAGAGUAGUAUAUGACCAGAAGAGGAAUGGUAGAGUCAACAAAAAGGUUUCAACUUCAAGGGGGAGUUCAUCUUCACAAUCUGGGAGAAAUGGUUUUUACAAUUUCGCAAAUAGUGCUGCUAUGUCGUCGAAUAUCAGGGGACAGAAAAGUGCCACCCGAUCAGAUCAUUCUUCUGUUUCAUCUCAAAAAUCAAGACCGACCUUUUGGACUGUGUGCCAUCGGUGCAAGAUGCAGUACGAGUAUCUCAGAGUUUAUCUAAAUCAUAAUCUUCUUUGCCCCAACUGUCAUGAGCCAUUUCUUGCCAUUGAAACACCCCCACCCCCUUUAAAUGGUGUGAAGUCUAAUGGAUGGGAUUUUACACAGCCAAGUUAUCAAACUGGCAGUAAAACUGCGUAUAGUCGAGGGAGGAGCAAUAUAGCCUCAUCAUCAUACAUGGGACCAGGUGAAUUGAAUCACUCUACACAGAGCCCAAGUGACCUUCAAUGGGGUCCUUUCUCAAGAAUGGGAGGUACUUCAUCUGCGGCUCAAGCUGCAACUGUAGUUCAGCAGGCGUAUGAGAAAGUGAAAAGGCAACGUGAGGAGGCACAAGCUGCCAAAAGAGAGGAACGCAGAAAGCAUCAGAUGUCUAGGAAAGGCUCUGGUGCUUCAGGUACAGGGUACUCUGGUGCUGUAAAAAGAAGAAGAGGUAUAGAUGACAUUUCCUCCAGUUCCCAUGCAAGAGAUAUAACCAAUCAGUCAAAAACUGGCAUUGGAAGGACAAGGUCGGCCAAUCUGUCUGGUUGUACCAGGGGUAAUGUAAAUGGAAAUACCACACUCAAGAGCUCUCAGGAUGUCUCUCUUAGUGAACUUCAGAAUUUAUUAGUGGAGAAGGCCAAGAAGGAAAUAAGGAAGAUGUUACGUGAAUUGAAUUCAACAACUUUAACUACCGGUGCAGUCAAAGAGGGAAAUGAGAAUGAGAAGGUAACUGGGAAGGGAGAAACAGCUCCGGUCUCAUGCAAAAAGCAUGCUAAAGACAUGCCAAUAGAAUUUCUGAAUACAACUAGUGGUUUUCCAGGCAAUUUAAGUCCCAGUGAUGCAGAAACAAUGUUAAUAAAUGUCCCUGAUCCAGAUUUUCACGAUUUUGAUAGAGACCGUACAGAAAGCUCUUUUGGAGAUAAUCAAGUCUGGGCUGCUUAUGAUGAUGAUGAUGGCAUGCCUCGACGUUAUGCCUGGAUUCAUAGUGUAGUAUCUUUGAACCCAUUUAAACUGAAGAUUAGUUGGCUAAGCUCAAUAACGAAUAAUGAAUUGGAUCGACUGAGCUGUGUUAGCUCUAGUUUCCCAAAAACUUGUGGGGAUUUUGGAACUGGGAGGUGUGAGAUUUAUAGCUCCCUUAAUUCUUUUUCGCACAAGGUUCUAUGGUCAAAAGGCACUUACGGAGACAUUUGCAUACAUCCCAGAAAGGGAGAUGUUUGGGCUCUUUACAGGAAUUGGUCCCCGGAUUGGAACGAAGUGACAUCAGAUGAGGUAAUACACAAGUAUGACAUGGUUGAAGUUCUUGAGGAUUAUAAUAAAGAACUGGGUGUUACCAUUACUCCCCUCGUCAAAGUGGCUGGUUUCAAGACCGUAUUUCACCAGCACUUGGACCCAAAACAAGUUCGAAGGAUUCCUAAAGAUGAGAUAUUUCAGUUUUCUCAUCUCGUACCUUCACAUUUGCUUACAGGUCGAGAAGCCCCAAGUGCUCCCAGAGGUUGCAGGGAACUGGACCCUGCAGCCAUGCCAGUCGACCUUCUUCAUGUCAUUGAAACUGCCAAGGAAGAAGAAAUCAUAGAGAUUGAGGACUUGAAGCCACAAAGUUCUGUGAAUGAGAUUAUAGAUGUUAAUGACGAAAAGACGGAAAACAAACCUAAGGAAGGAAGGAAGGAGAAUAUAGUCAAACCUGUAGCAGUAGAAGUUGCGGAAGAUGUCCUAGAACUUAAACUGGUCAAGAAGACAGUGCACUCCAAUGAAAUGGAAGUUUCUUGAACAUUGGAUUAUCCGGUCUUCAUGAAUAUAAAUGGUAAACCUUUGCGGAAGCUGAUUGGAAAUAGUUGACAACUUUAGCAUUCUGACCAUUUUUUUUUUCUCUUCAAGGAUUUAUUAGAUGGAUCCGUACUUGAAAUCAUAGCUUAUAAUGUUACUAUACAUUUUAACUAAAAGAUCUUUUAGAAGGUUAAUCUAUACCCUUUUUAUGCCACUGUAGCAGCUUGUGGAAGCUCCCUCGAGUCGUGUAUAUUACGUGCUAAACAGAACCACGUUCCUAGGAUUUUGCAAGUUCAGUAUGUAUUCCCUCUCAUAGCUGUCAGUUUGUGGCCUACUCAAUUUACCAUGAAGUGGCUAUUUGUUGCUACCCUCAACUCGGGUUCGUGUUCCAUAUAAAGAAAAUGAAGAAGGUGAAUAUUGAAUGUUGUGGACGACGCUUCUCUUUCGACGAAUAAGAGAGAAGAGGCCUUAAUGAGAAUCAGCAGUUCAUUGAGCAGCUGUUUGGAUUCAUUCUCUUGCUUCUUGAGCAGCUGUUUGUGCCUGAACUGAAGUAAGUUGAAAGGGGUGGGGAUGGAUUAAGUUUGAUUUUUUUUCUUCUUAUGACCACUUUAAUCCGAUUAACCUACGUGCUCGAUAGUGGAUAUUAGUUCACUCGACACUUCAGUUGUCGUGUUGUGCUACGUAAUCUUUAAUUAAUACAAUUAGCAUUCCUAAUAAA
Non-coding RNA from Momordica charantia (bitter melon), 3724 nucleotides. NCBI's taxonomy places the organism in Eukaryota, Viridiplantae, Streptophyta, Magnoliopsida, Cucurbitales, Cucurbitaceae. The record is from RefSeq and is a predicted model, not a curated record.